Molecule: long non-coding RNA, 385 nt
Filed under: Brassica napus (rape)
Lineage: Eukaryota; Viridiplantae; Streptophyta; Magnoliopsida; Brassicales; Brassicaceae
Description: long non-coding RNA (BNAP_LNC011262)
Source: RNAcentral
GCUUCGAAAGUAAACAUGACAGUAUGGGCUUACUCAAUUCCACCUGUGGGCCAGAUAAUUCACUUUCUCGCAGCCCAGCCCAUUAACCCUAAUCGCCGUAUUGGUAAAACUAAAGCCAAAGCUUUCUCAUCCUCUCAAUAACCCUAAUCGCCAUCUCCCCCAUUUCUCUUUCCCGCAUGGCGAUUCUCUUCGUCUCCCCCAAAUCUUCCCGCAAAACGCCUCCGAUGAAAGGGCUGGAACUUCAAUUUUCUCCCUUAAAGCCUCCAUUGAAGAUCCCUACGGACCUUCCACAUCCCCCCUCCGCCUUAUAUCUAGAUCCCUAUUUAUACCCUUAUCUCUCUUACCUCAGAUCAUACCCUUAUCUCUCUUACCUCAGAUCGUUAGC